UACGUAGGUGGCAAGCGUUGUCCGGAAUUACUGGGCUUAAAGGGUGCGUAGGCGGCGCGGAAAGUUGGGUGUGAAAUCCCUCGGCUCAACCGAGGAACUGCGCCCAAAACUACCGUGCUUGAGGGAGAUAGAGGUGAGCGGAACUUAGGGUGGAGCGGUGAAAUGCGUUGAUAUCCUAAGGAACACCCGUGGCGAAAGCGGCUCACUGGGUCUCUUCUGACGCUGAGGCACGAAAGCUAGGGUAGCGAACGGG
RNAcentral lists this ribosomal RNA (253 nucleotides) under uncultured bacterium. RNAcentral describes it as "partial 16S ribosomal RNA". It matches the Rfam family "Bacterial small subunit ribosomal RNA", at positions 524 to 776 of the family's 1533-position model. The record is from RNAcentral.